GAAAUGCGAUAAGUAAUGUGAAUUGCAGAAUUCAGUGAAUCAUCGAAUCUUUGAACGCACCUUGCGCUCCUUGGUAUUCCUUGGAGCAUGCCUGUUUGAGUAUCAUGAAAUCUUCAAAGUAAAUCUUUUGUUAACUCAAUUGGUUUCUACUUUGUAUUGGAGGUCUUUGCAGCUUCACACCUGCUCCUCUUUGUUCAUUAGCUGGAUCUCAGUGUUAUGCUUGGUUCCACUCGGCGUGAUAAGUUAUCUAUCGCUGAGGACACUGUAAAAGGUGGCCAAGGUAAAUGCAGAUGAACCGCUUCUAAUAGUCCAUUGACUUGGACAAUACUUUUAUGAUCUGAUCUCAAAUCAGGUAGGACUACCCGCUGAACUUAAGC
Molecule: unclassified non-coding RNA, 377 nt
Filed under: plant metagenome
Description: partial contains 5.8S ribosomal RNA, internal transcribed spacer 2, and large subunit ribosomal RNA
Rfam family: 5.8S ribosomal RNA (bases 1-105)
Source: RNAcentral